Molecule: long non-coding RNA, 414 nt
Organism: Peromyscus eremicus (cactus mouse)
Lineage: Eukaryota; Metazoa; Chordata; Mammalia; Rodentia; Cricetidae
Exons: 2
Source: RefSeq, a predicted model, not a curated record
GCCAUGGGACAAAGGGGCGGAUACUUUUACCACCUACAUUGGCGGAUAGAGGUGGGCACAGCGUAAACCUGGCCACAUAACAGUGUAAACCUGGCCGCAUAACAGCGUCACGGGAACUUCUGCCAGCGAAUGGGCAAUUCUAACUCACUGUUCAGCUAAUGGUACAGGAACACCACAGAACCGGAGUCCAGAGAUCAUCAACAUCUUGUCAAACAGAAAGUUCCCAGCCACAGCCAAGAGGGAUACAUGUCUCCAGAGCAAACGGAUGACAGACAGCAUCCCACCAUGCCUGUCUACCUCAGAAGACUCCCCCAAGAGCUGGAAGCAGUUUUUGAGAGGAACGACGUCCCUAUUCCCAUAUACCUGCUUUUUUUUUAAUAAUAAGCAAAAGUCUGGGAUAUAAGGAUGACUGUA